RNAcentral lists this long non-coding RNA (524 nucleotides) under Phoenix dactylifera (date palm). Its description in RNAcentral is "long non-coding RNA (PDAC_LNC022546)". Lineage: Eukaryota; Viridiplantae; Streptophyta; Magnoliopsida; Arecales; Arecaceae. The record is from RNAcentral.
AAGAGAGAGACCCUUAACGGGUCCGACCUAACGGGUCUGAUCCGAGUACGGGUCCAAACCUGUUAGGCCCAAAUAAAAGAAAAGAAAAAUGGAUUUAGCCAAAUUUGACUAAAACCGAGCCCAGUCAGAUUGGGCUAAGUCCGGACGAACCCAAACUAUAAAUUGGAUUAAAUCCAAACCAAAUUAAGCCCAAUUGAGUUGGGUCUGAACCUAAUUAAGCUGAGUUAGUCUCAGCAGACCCAAAUUGAAUAUGAAUCAAGCCCAAUUCAAAACCAGUUUAACUAAAUUGAGACCGAAUUGACUUUGGGCUGAUCCUGACUCCAGCCUAGAUGAGCCACAUUGACCCUGGACCAAAAUUAAACCUAAUUGGACUUGAAAUUGAGCCCAAUAACAUAAUCAGAAGACCAAAUUGACCCGAUAGGGCUAGACCCAAUCAGGAACCGAGCUCAAUUCUUUAAUUAAAGAACCAAUUGACCUACGUGAAUCCAAUCUGGUUCUAAAAUCGAGGUCAAGGACUCUAAAUU